RNAcentral lists this ribosomal RNA (508 nucleotides) under uncultured bacterium. Its description in RNAcentral is "partial 16S ribosomal RNA". It matches the Rfam family "Bacterial small subunit ribosomal RNA", at positions 28 to 523 of the family's 1533-position model. The record is from RNAcentral.
GAUGAACGCUAGCUACAGGCUUAACACAUGCAAGUCGAGGGGAAACGAUAUUGGAAGCUUGCUUCCGAUAGGCGUCGACCGGCGCACGGGCGAGUAACGCGUAUCCAACCUGCCCAUCACUUGGGGAUAACCUUGCGAAAGUAAGACUAAUACCCAAUGACGUCUCUAGAAGACAUCUGAAAGAGAUUAAAUAUUUAUCGGUGCUCGAUGGGGAUGCGUCUGAUUAGCUUGUUGGCGGGGUAACGGCCCACCAAGGCGACGAUCAGUAGGGGUGCUGAGAGGAAGGUCCCCCACAUUGGAACUGAGACACGGUCCAAACUCCUACGGGAGGCAGCAGUGAGGAAUAUUGGUCAAUGGGCGAGAGCCUGAACCAGCCAAGUAGCGUGCAGGAUGACGGCCCUAUGGGUUGUAAACUGCUUUUAUAAGGGAAUAAAGUGGGAGUCGUGACUCCUUUUGCAUGUACCUUAUGAAUAAGGACCGGCUAAUUCCGUGCCAGCAGCCGCCGUAA